Molecule: ribosomal RNA, 256 nt
Filed under: uncultured bacterium
Lineage: Bacteria
Description: partial 16S ribosomal RNA
Rfam family: Bacterial small subunit ribosomal RNA
Source: RNAcentral
UGGCGGACGGGUGAGUAAUGUCUGGGAAACUGCCUGAUGGAGGGGGAUAACCACUGGAAACGGUAGCUAAUACCGCAUAACGUCGCAAGACCAAAGAGGGGGACCCUCGGGCCUCUUGCCAUCGGAUGUGCCCAGAUGGGAUUAGCUUGUUGGUGGGGUAACGGCUCACCAAGGCGACGAUCCCUAGCUGGUCUGAGAGGAUGACCAGCCACACUGGAACUGAGACACGGUCCAGACUCCUACGGGAGGCAGCAUG